CACGUAGGGGGCAAGCGUUGUCCGGAUUUAUUGGGCGUAAAGAGCUCGUAGGUGGCCUGUCGCGUCGGCUGUGAAAACUCGGGGCUCAACUCCGAGCUUGCAGUCGAUACGGGCAGGCUAGAGUUCGGCAGGGGAGACUGGAAUUCCUGGUGUAGCGGUGAAAUGCGCAGAUAUCAGGAGGAACACCGGUGGCGAAGGCGGGUCUCUGGGCCGAUACUGACACUGAGGAGCGAAAGCGUGGGGAGCGAACAGG
This 253-nucleotide ribosomal RNA is filed under the name uncultured bacterium. Its description in RNAcentral is "partial 16S ribosomal RNA". It matches the Rfam family "Bacterial small subunit ribosomal RNA", at positions 524 to 776 of the family's 1533-position model. The record is from RNAcentral.